UCAGGAUGAACGCUAGCUACAGGCCUAACACAUGCAAGUCGAGGGAAACGGCAGCUUAGCUUGCUAAGCUGGACGUCGACCGGCGCACGGGUGAGUAACGCGUAUCCAACUUCCCAUAGCCAGGGAAUAACCUUGCGAAAGUAAGACUAAUGUCCUAUGUUGUUCUUUGCGGACAUCUAAAGAGAACGAAAGAUUUAUCGGCUAUGGAUGGGGAUGCGUCUGAUUAGGUUGUUGGCGGGGUAACGGCCACCAAGCCUACGAUCAGUAGGGUUCUGAGAGGAAGGUCCCCCCACAUUGGAACUGAGACACGGUCCAAACUCCUACGGGAGGCAGCAGUGAGGAAUAUUGGUCAAUGGACGGAAGUCUGAACCAGCCAAGUAGCGUGCAGGACGACGGCCCUAUGGGUUGUAAACUGCUUUUAUGUGGGAAUAAAGUCAGGGACGUGUCCCUGUUUGCAUGUACCACAGGAAUAAGGACCGGCUAAUUCCGUG
This 491-nucleotide ribosomal RNA is filed under the name uncultured bacterium. RNAcentral describes it as "bacterial SSU rRNA". It matches the Rfam family "Bacterial small subunit ribosomal RNA", at positions 24 to 507 of the family's 1533-position model. The record is from RNAcentral.